Molecule: long non-coding RNA, 827 nt
Organism: Artibeus jamaicensis (Jamaican fruit-eating bat)
Lineage: Eukaryota; Metazoa; Chordata; Mammalia; Chiroptera; Phyllostomidae
Exons: 3
Source: RefSeq, a predicted model, not a curated record
UUCAGUUGCUGAGACUUCACAGUUACUCAAAGCUGGGUCUGGGUGUGGUGAUUGCAGUGCCACUCUUGCCUCAGAAAGGCCAUUAAACCUCAGAGCUUCAAGCCUCAUUGCAGCCAAUUUUUCAUGGAAGCAGAUGUUGACAGCUGGGAGGAAUCCUUCUGGGACCCUGAAGGAAGGCUGAGGAAAAUGCCCUUUCAAGAGGUCAUAGGAUUUGGCUUCUAAGCUUGUACGGACAUCGAAACUUCCUCACUGCAAUGAAAAAAAAAAAGAAAAAUGCAAUCUACUAAAAUUUGAUUGAAUGGACCAACUUGCAAGAGCUGCUGAUUUUGAAAAUGAGAUUGAGACUUCACUGGAUAAAGUCAACCAUUGUUAAGACAAGUAGAACAUUGUACAACACAAUAAACUUCACAUUAGGAAUUUCUUCAAAGAUACACCCAUAUUCAAGUCAAGUCUUAACUAUAGUUUAGAUAUAUGAAAUUUAGCACUGAGUAGUGAAGAAACAGGUAGUGACCAAAAAGAGGAAAUAUGUAAAAUAGAAAGAUAGCCUCUUUUUUAAAUAAUAAGUGAGAAAAUUGUUUUUAGCACGAUAAAUAUUUGAACUUGGAGAGAAACAGAAAGAAAUAUUGGCAAAAUAAAAUAAAAAUGAAACAAAUCAAAACGAUACCACAGUGCUAUUACUACCACCAACAAUAACAGAAAGAAAAGUCUCUUAUCUUUCAAGUUUUAAGACAGUGUUAAUAAUCCAUUUUCCCUUCCAUUAUUCAAAACUACUAGAACCUGAUCCUGAAGACCAAGAAGGAAGCAAAACACAAGCAGAGACAUUGAGA